AGAGGUGAUAUUCAGAGGCUUUGCGUCUUUGCUCCGGAGAAGUACAGAGAUGGUGAGAGGUGAAGAACAAUAGGGAGAGAAGACCCAUUUCAAUUCGAUCCGUUUCGACUUCCGCUAAGCUACGCUCUCUUUGGUUAUGUUUUCAGAUGGUGAUGGGAGUCUGAAUGAAAGUGAUCAGAAAAGGCUAUGUCCUCCAGUCCUAUUUAGAGUGAGAAGCCACUAGCAAUCUACUCCAGAAGCAAGGUAACUCUCUUUGAUACCUGCUCAUACCUAUUUGAUGGCGUAUCCUCCAGAAGCAACGUAAUUCUCUUUCCCUAUUGGUGACCACUUUUUCCUUAUGUUGUCAGAAAUGUUCAAGAUUUGAAUGUUCAAGCUUUGUGAACCUUUUUUAGGUUAUGAUGGCUGCUUUGGUAUAGACUAGGGUUUGAAGAUUUCCCAGGGUUAUUUCUUUUUUAAGUUAAUGAUGCUUCUUUAAUGUGAUUGCAGCUUAUCAAUACAAGCAUAAGCUAAAACUUUGCAGAACCCUUUAAAUGGCUUUCGUGUUGUUUUGGAAGUUUAUGGAAGUUUUAAUUGGUUCUUUCAAUUGGUUAUGCUUAAUUGACCCAACUAUUUGUCAUUCUUCAUUUUGUAGUCAGUUUCAUUUAGUGGGCCUAUUGCAAUGGAAGUAUUUAACUUGCAUAUAUGCUUCUGCACAUGUUAUGUUAUACUUCUUAAUUAGAUCCUUUUUCA
Long non-coding RNA from Rosa rugosa (rugosa rose), 729 nucleotides. RefSeq lists it as uncharacterized. The transcript is spliced from 3 exons. The record is from RefSeq and is a predicted model, not a curated record. Lineage: Eukaryota; Viridiplantae; Streptophyta; Magnoliopsida; Rosales; Rosaceae.